CUACCCUUUGGCAGCACAUACAUGACAAUCAGAACAAUGCAGAGAUUAGCAUGGCCCCUGUGCAGGGAUGACAUGCAAAUUCUUGAAGCGUUCCAUAUUAAA
This is a small nuclear RNA of Echinops telfairi (small Madagascar hedgehog), 102 nucleotides long. Lineage: Eukaryota; Metazoa; Chordata; Mammalia; Afrosoricida; Tenrecidae. The record is from RefSeq and is a predicted model, not a curated record.